RNAcentral lists this unclassified non-coding RNA (345 nucleotides) under soil metagenome. Its description in RNAcentral is "partial contains 5.8S ribosomal RNA, internal transcribed spacer 2, and large subunit ribosomal RNA". The stretch from base 1 to 120 matches the Rfam family "5.8S ribosomal RNA", at positions 35 to 154 of the family's 154-position model. The record is from RNAcentral.
GAUGAAGAACGUAGCGAAAUGCGAUACGUAAUGUGAAUUGCAGAAAUCAGUGAAUCAUCGAGUCUUUGAACGCACAUUGCGCCCCCUGGUAUUCCGGGGGGCAUGCCUGUCCGAGCGUCAUUGCUGCCCUCAAGCACGGCUUGUGUGUUGGGCCUCCGUCCUCCUCCCGGGGGACGGGCCCGAAAGGCAGCGGCGGCACCGCGUCCGGUCCUCGAGCGUAUGGGGCUUCGUCACCCGCUCUUGUAGGCCCGGCCGGCGCUUGCCGACACAUCAAUCUUUUUUCCAGGUUGACCUCGGAUCAGGUAGGGAUACCCGCUGAACUUAAGCAUAUCAAUAAGCGGAGGA